AGGACGAACGCUGGCGGCGUGCUUAACACAUGCAAGUCGAGCGGAGAAUAUAGCAAUAUAUCUUAGCGGCGGACGGGUGAGUAACGCGUGGGCAAUCUGCCUCAUACAGGGGGAUAACACUGGGAAACUAGUGCUAAUACCGCAUAAAAUAGUGAAGUGGCAUCACUUUACUAGUCAAAAGGAGCAAUCCGGUGUGAGAUGAGCCCGCGUCCGAUUAGCUAGUUGGAGGGUAACGGCCCACCAAGGCGACGAUCGGUAGCCGAACUGAGAGGUUGAUCGGCCACAUUGGGACUGAGACACGGCCCAGACUCCUACGGGAGGCAGCAGUGGGGAAUAUUGCGCCAAUGGGGGAAACCCUGACGCAGCAACGCCGCGUGAAGGAUGAAGGUUUUCGGAUUGUAAACUUCUUUGAUUGGGGACGAUAAUGACGGUACCCAAAAAACAAGCCACGGCUAACUACGUGCCAGCCGCCGC
This 474-nucleotide ribosomal RNA is filed under the name uncultured bacterium. Its description in RNAcentral is "bacterial SSU rRNA". It matches the Rfam family "Bacterial small subunit ribosomal RNA", at positions 26 to 518 of the family's 1533-position model. The record is from RNAcentral.